RNAcentral lists this ribosomal RNA (2254 nucleotides) under Salmonella enterica. Its description in RNAcentral is "partial 23S ribosomal RNA". It matches the Rfam family "Bacterial large subunit ribosomal RNA", at positions 711 to 2856 of the family's 2925-position model. RNAcentral also lists the same sequence under 1 other name. Lineage: Bacteria; Pseudomonadati; Pseudomonadota; Gammaproteobacteria; Enterobacterales; Enterobacteriaceae. The record is from RNAcentral.
AGACCCGAAACCCGGUGAUCUAGCCAUGGGCAGGUUGAAGGUUGGGUAACACUAACUGGAGGACCGAACCGACUAAUGUUGAAAAAUUAGCGGAUGACCUGUGGCUGGGGGUGAAAGGCCAAUCAAACCGGGAGAUAGCUGGUUCUCCCCGAAAGCUAUUUAGGUAGCGCCUCGUGAAUUCAUCUCCGGGGGUAGAGCACUGUUUCGGCUAGGGGGCCAUCCCGGCUUACCAACCCGAUGCAAACUGCGAAUACCGGAGAAUGUUAUCACGGGAGACACACGGCGGGUGCUAACGUCCGUCGUGAAGAGGGAAACAACCCAGACCGCCAGCUAAGGUCCCAAAGUCAUGGUUAAGUGGGAAACGAUGUGGGAAGGCCCAGACAGCCAGGAUGUUGGCUUAGAAGCAGCCAUCAUUUAAAGAAAGCGUAAUAGCUCACUGGUCGAGUCGGCCUGCGCGGAAGAUGUAACGGGGCUAAACCAUGCACCGAAGCUGCGGCAGCGAACGUAUCACCCAAGACAACUUUACGGAGUUGACGAUUGACGGAGCGAAGCGACGUCAAAGCGUUCAUUAAAGUCGAGUUGGCUUAGGGAUACGUUCGUUGGGUAGGGGAGCGUUCUGUAAGCCUGUGAAGGUGUGUCGUGAGGCAUGCUGGAGGUAUCAGAAGUGCGAAUGCUGACAUAAGUAACGAUAAAGCGGGUGAAAAGCCCGCUCGCCGGAAGACCAAGGGUUCCUGUCCAACGUUAAUCGGGGCAGGGUGAGUCGACCCCUAAGGCGAGGCCGAAAGGCGUAGUCGAUGGGAAACGGGUUAAUAUUCCCGUACUUGGUGUUACUGCGAAGGGGGGACGGAGAAGGCUAUGUUGGCCGGGCGACGGUUGUCCCGGUUUAAGCGUGUAGGUGUGUGUUCCAGGUAAAUCCGGUUCACUUUAACACUGAGGCGUGACGACGAGGCACUACGGUGCUGAAGCAACAAAUGCCCUGCUUCCAGGAAAAGCCUCUAAGCAUCAGGUAACACGAAAUCGUACCCCAAACCGACACAGGUGGUCAGGUAGAGAAUACCAAGGCGCUUGAGAGAACUCGGGUGAAGGAACUAGGCAAAAUGGUGCCGUAACUUCGGGAGAAGGCACGCUGACACGUAGGUGAAGUGAUUUACUCAUGGAGCUGAAGUCAGUCGAAGAUACCAGCUGGCUGCAACUGUUUAUUAAAAACACAGCACUGUGCAAACACGAAAGUGGACGUAUACGGUGUGACGCCUGCCCGGUGCCGGAAGGUUAAUUGAUGGGGUCAGCGUAAGCGAAGCUCCUGAUCGAAGCCCCGGUAAACGGCGGCCGUAACUAUAACGGUCCUAAGGUAGCGAAAUUCCUUGUCGGGUAAGUUCCGACCUGCACGAAUGGCGUAAUGAUGGCCAGGCUGUCUCCACCCGAGACUCAGUGAAAUUGAACUCGCUGUGAAGAUGCAGUGUACCCGCGGCAAGACGGAAAGACCCCGUGAACCUUUACUAUAGCUUGACACUGAACAUUGAGCCUUGAUGUGUAGGAUAGGUGGGAGGCUUUGAAGUGUGGACGCCAGUCUGCAUGGAGCCGACCUUGAAAUACCACCCUUUAAUGUUUGAUGUUCUAACGUGGACCCGUAAUCCGGGUUGCGGACAGUGUCUGGUGGGUAGUUUGACUGGGGCGGUCUCCUCCUAAAGAGUAACGGAGGAGCACGAAGGUUGGCUAAUCCUGGUCGGACAUCAGGAGGUUAGUGCAAUGGCAUAAGCCAGCUUGACUGCGAGCGUGACGGCGCGAGCAGGUGCGAAAGCAGGUCAUAGUGAUCCGGUGGUUCUGAAUGGAAGGGCCAUCGCUCAACGGAUAAAAGGUACUCCGGGGAUAACAGGCUGAUACCGCCCAAGAGUUCAUAUCGACGGCGGUGUUUGGCACCUCGAUGUCGGCUCAUCACAUCCUGGGGCUGAAGUAGGUCCCAAGGGUAUGGCUGUUCGCCAUUUAAAGUGGUACGCGAGCUGGGUUUAGAACGUCGUGAGACAGUUCGGUCCCUAUCUGCCGUGGGCGCUGGAGAACUGAGGGGGGCUGCUCCUAGUACGAGAGGACCGGAGUGGACGCAUCACUGGUGUUCGGGUUGUCAUGCCAAUGGCACUGCCCGGUAGCUAAAUGCGGAAGAGAUAAGUGCUGAAAGCAUCUAAGCACGAAACUUGCCCCGAGAUGAGUUCUCCCUGAGACUUAGAGUCUCCUGAAGGAACGUUGAAGACGACGACGUUGA